CUGAGUACGACGGAGCACGUGAAAUUCCGUCGGAAUCUGGGAGGACCAUCUCCUAAGGCUAAAUACUCUCUAGUGACCGAUAGUGAACCAGUACCGUGAGGGAAAGGUGAAAAGCACCCCGGAAGGGGAGUGAAAUAGAACCUGAAACCGUGUGCUUACAAGUAGUCAGAGCCCGUUAAUGGGUGAUGGCGUGCCUUUUGUAGAAUGAACCGGCGAGUUACGAUUUGAUGCAAGGUUAAGCAGUAAAUGUGGAGCCGUAGCGAAAGCGAGUCUGAAUAGGGCGUUUAGUAUUUGGUCGUAGACCCGAAACCAGGUGAUCUACCCUUGGUCAGGUUGAAGUUCAGGUAACACUGAAUGGAGGACCGAACCGACUUACGUUGAAAAGUGAGCGGAUGAACUGAGGGUAGCGGAGAAAUUCCAAUCGAACCUGGAGAUAGCUGGUUCUCUCCGAAAUAGCUUUAGGGCUAGCCUCAAGUGAUGAUUAUUGGAGGUAGAGCACUGUUUGGACGAGGGGCCCCUCUCGGGUUACCGAAUUCAGACAAACUCCGAAUGCCAAUUAAUUUAACUUGGGAGUCAGAACAUGGGUGAUAAGGUCCGUGUUCGAAAGGGAAACAGCCCAGACCACCAGCUAAGGUCCCAAAAUAUAUGUUAAGUGGAAAAGGAUGUGGCGUUGCCCAGACAACUAGGAUGUUGGCUUAGAAGCAGCCAUCAUUUAAAGAGUGCGUAAUAGCUCACUAGUCGAGUGACACUGCGCCGAAAAUGUACCGGGGCUAAACAUAUUACCGAAGCUGUGGAUUGUCCUUUGGACAAUGGUAGGAGAGCGUUCUAAGGGCGUUGAAGCAUGAUCGUAAGGACAUGUGGAGCGCUUAGAAGUGAGAAUGCCGGUGUGAGUAGCGAAAGACGGGUGAGAAUCCCGUCCACCGAUUGACUAAGGUUUCCAGAGGAAGGCUCGUCCGCUCUGGGUUAGUCGGGUCCUAAGCUGAGGCCGACAGGCGUAGGCGAUGGAUAACAGGUUGAUAUUCCUGUACCACCUAUAAUCGUUUUAAUCGAUGGGGGGACGCAGUAGGAUAGGCGAAGCGUGCGAUUGGAUUGCACGUCUAAGCAGUAAGGCUGAGUAUUAGGCAAAUCCGGUACUCGUUAAGGCUGAGCUGUGAUGGGGAGAAGACAUUGUGUCUUCGAGUCGUUGAUUUCACACUGCCGAGAAAAGCCUCUAGAUAGAAAAUAGGUGCCCGUACCGCAAACCGACACAGGUAGUCAAGAUGAGAAUUCUAAGGUGAGCGAGCGAACUCUCGUUAAGGAACUCGGCAAAAUGACCCCGUAACUUCGGGAGAAGGGGUGCUCUUUAGGGUUAACGCCCAGAAGAGCCGCAGUGAAUAGGCCCAAGCGACUGUUUAUCAAAAACACAGGUCUCUGCUAAACCGUAAGGUGAUGUAUAGGGGCUGACGCCUGCCCGGUGCUGGAAGGUUAAGAGGAGUGGUUAGCUUCUGCGAAGCUACGAAUCGAAGCCCCAGUAAACGGCGGCCGUAACUAUAACGGUCCUAAGGUAGCGAAAUUCCUUGUCGGGUAAGUUCCGACCCGCACGAAAGGCGUAACGAUUUGGGCACUGUCUCAACGAGAGACUCGGUGAAAUCAUAGUACCUGUGAAGAUGCAGGUUACCCGCGACAGGACGGAAAGACCCCGUGGAGCUUUACUGUAGCCUGAUAUUGAAAUUCGGCACAGCUUGUACAGGAUAGGUAGGAGCCUUUGAAACGUGAGCGCUAGCUUACGUGGAGGCGCUGGUGGGAUACUACCCUA
RNAcentral lists this ribosomal RNA (1795 nucleotides) under Staphylococcus aureus. Its description in RNAcentral is "partial 23S ribosomal RNA". It matches the Rfam family "Bacterial large subunit ribosomal RNA", at positions 408 to 2207 of the family's 2925-position model. Lineage: Bacteria; Bacillati; Bacillota; Bacilli; Caryophanales; Staphylococcaceae. The record is from RNAcentral.